Molecule: ribosomal RNA, 253 nt
Filed under: uncultured bacterium
Lineage: Bacteria
Description: partial 16S ribosomal RNA
Rfam family: Bacterial small subunit ribosomal RNA
Source: RNAcentral
GACGGAGGAUGCAAGCGUUAUCCGGAGUGAUUGGGCGUAAAGCGUCCGCAGGUGGCAGUUCAAGUCUGCUGUCAAAGACCGGGGCUUAACUUCGGAAAGGCAGUGGAAACUGAACAGCUAGAGUAUGGUAGGGGCAGAGGGAAUUCCUGGUGUAGCGGUGAAAUGCGUAGAUAUCAGGAAGAACAUCGGUGGCGAAGGCGCUCUGCUGGACCAUAACUGACACUCAGGGACGAAAGCUAGGGGAGCGAAUGGG